AAGUCGAACGAUGAACCUGUGCUUGCACGGGGGAUUAGUGGCGAACGGGUGAGUAACACGUGAGUAACCUGCCCUUGACUUCGGGAUAAGCCUGGGAAACUGGGUCUAAUACUGGAUACGACCUCUCAUCGCAUGGUGUGGGGGUGGAAAGUUUUUGCGGUUUUGGAUGGACUCGCGGCCUAUCAGCUUGUUGGUGAGGUAAUGGCUCACCAAGGCGACGACGGGUAGCCGGCCUGAGAGGGUGACCGGCCACACUGGGACUGAGACACGGCCCAGACUCC
Molecule: ribosomal RNA, 281 nt
Filed under: unidentified marine bacterioplankton
Lineage: Bacteria
Description: partial 16S ribosomal RNA
Rfam family: Bacterial small subunit ribosomal RNA
Source: RNAcentral